RNAcentral lists this unclassified non-coding RNA (345 nucleotides) under soil metagenome. Its description in RNAcentral is "partial contains 5.8S ribosomal RNA, internal transcribed spacer 2, and large subunit ribosomal RNA". The stretch from base 1 to 119 matches the Rfam family "5.8S ribosomal RNA", at positions 35 to 154 of the family's 154-position model. The record is from RNAcentral.
GAUGAAGAACGCAGCGAAAUGCGAUACGUAAUGUGAAUUGCAAAUUCAGUGAAUCAUCGAGUCUUUGGACGCACAUUGCGCCCCCUGGUAUUCCGGGGGGCAUGCCUGUCCGAGCGUCAUUGCUGCCCUCAAGCACGGCUUGUGUGUUGGGCCCCGUCCUCCGAUCCCGGGGGACGGGCCCGAAAGGCAGCGGCGGCACCGCGUCCGGUCCUCGAGCGUAUGGGGCUUUGUCACCCGCUCUGUAGGCCCGGCCGGCGCUUGCCGAUCAACCCAAAUUUUUAUCCAGGUUGACCUCGGAUCAGGUAGGGAUACCCGCUGAACUUAAGCAUAUCAAUAAGCGGAGGA